CCCUUAGAUGUUCUGGGCUGCACGCGCGCUACACUGAUGCGCUCAACGAGUUUAUGAACUUGCCCGGAAGGGUUGGUUAAUCUUUUUAAAACGCAUCGUGAUGGGGAUAGAUUAUUGCAAUUAUUAAUCUUCAACGAGGAAUUCCUAGUAAGCGCGAGUCAUCAGCUCGUGCUGAUUACGUCCCUGCCCUUUGUACACACCGCCCGUCGCCCCUACCGAUUGAGUGAUCCGGUGAAUAAUUCGGACUGCAGUCGUGUUCAGUUCCUGAACGUGGCAGCGGAAAGUUUAGUGAACCUUAUCACUUAGAGGAAGGAGAAGUCGUAACA
RNAcentral lists this ribosomal RNA (326 nucleotides) under uncultured eukaryote. RNAcentral describes it as "partial 18S ribosomal RNA". It matches the Rfam family "Eukaryotic small subunit ribosomal RNA", at positions 1470 to 1796 of the family's 1831-position model. The record is from RNAcentral.